GAGUUUUGAUCCUGGCUCAGGAUGAACGCUAGCUACAGGCUUAACACAUGCAAGUCGAGGGGCAGCGGGGGUAGCAAUACCCGCCGGCGACCGGCGCACGGGUGAGUAACGCGUAUGCAACUUACCUAUCAGAGGGGGAUAACCCGGCGAAAGUCGGACUAAUACCGCAUGAAGCAGGGAUCCCGCAUGGGAAUAUUUGCUAAAGAUUCAUCGCUGAUAGAUAGGCAUGCGUUCCAUUAGGCAGUUGGCGGGGUAACGGCCCACCAAACCGACGAUGGAUAGGGGUUCUGAGAGGAAGGUCCCCCACAUUGGUACUGAGACACGGACCAAACUCCUACGGGAGGCAGCA
This 349-nucleotide ribosomal RNA is filed under the name uncultured bacterium. Its description in RNAcentral is "bacterial SSU rRNA". It matches the Rfam family "Bacterial small subunit ribosomal RNA", at positions 9 to 353 of the family's 1533-position model. The record is from RNAcentral.